AGACCCGAAACCCGGUGAUCUAGCCAUGGGCAGGUUGAAGGUUGGGUAACACUAACUGGAGGACCGAACCGACUAAUGUUGAAAAAUUAGCGGAUGACCUGUGGCUGGGGGUGAAAGGCCAAUCAAACCGGGAGAUAGCUGGUUCUCCCCGAAAGCUAUUUAGGUAGCGCCUCGUGAACUCAUCUCCGGGGGUAGAGCACUGUUUCGGCUAGGGGGCCAUCCCGGCUUACCAACCCGAUGCAAACUGCGAAUACCGGAGAAUGUUAUCACGGGAGACACACGGCGGGUGCUAACGUCCGUCGUGAAGAGGGAAACAACCCAGACCGCCAGCUAAGGUCCCAAAGUCAUGGUUAAGUGGGAAACGAUGUGGGAAGGCCCAGACAGCCAGGAUGUUGGCUUAGAAGCAGCCAUCAUUUAAAGAAAGCGUAAUAGCUCACUGGUCGAGUCGGCCUGCGCGGAAGAUGUAACGGGGCUAAACCAUGCACCGAAGCUGCGGCAGCGACACUUUAGUGUUGUUGGGUAGGGGAGCGUUCUGUAAGCCGU
This 543-nucleotide ribosomal RNA is filed under the name Salmonella enterica subsp. salamae. Its description in RNAcentral is "partial 23S ribosomal RNA". It matches the Rfam family "Bacterial large subunit ribosomal RNA", at positions 711 to 1251 of the family's 2925-position model. Lineage: Bacteria; Pseudomonadati; Pseudomonadota; Gammaproteobacteria; Enterobacterales; Enterobacteriaceae. The record is from RNAcentral.